This 236-nucleotide long non-coding RNA is filed under the name Setaria viridis. RNAcentral's name for it is "long non-coding RNA (SVIR_LNC004098)". Lineage: Eukaryota; Viridiplantae; Streptophyta; Magnoliopsida; Poales; Poaceae. The record is from RNAcentral.
GCAUUUUCACAGAUAAGCCCCUCCACCUCUGAAAGUAUUUAGAAAUAGGUCCCUGGUUUAUUAUAAAUCAGUCCUAAACCUCCGUUUAAGCCCCUAAUCCAUGUUUAACCCGUCAUUUCAUGCGCCAAACUUCCUCCAAUUAAACCCAAAUUUCACCAUGCCAUCCUCUGGAAUACUUUCGCUGAUCCAUAUCCAAAUUUCCAAAGAAUAAUCCUUCUACCUAUUUUCCGUCAACG